This 335-nucleotide ribosomal RNA is filed under the name uncultured Cercozoa. RNAcentral describes it as "SSU rRNA". The stretch from base 116 to 335 matches the Rfam family "Eukaryotic small subunit ribosomal RNA", at positions 739 to 955 of the family's 1831-position model. The record is from RNAcentral. Lineage: Eukaryota; Cercozoa.
GAUUUCUGACGAAACUGCUAGCUGGCCCGCCACUCCGCGUGUGUGAGUGCCGGCUUGGCGUUUGUCAUCCGUUCGAAGGAUGUGCGCGCUGCCCUUCACUGGGUUGGUGCUGCAUGUGUUUCGAUCUUUUACUUUGAAAAAAUUAGAGUGUUUCAAGCAGGCAUUUGUUGCUAUGAAUACAUUAGCAUGGAAUAAUAACCUAGGACUUUCGGUUCUAUUUUGUUGGUGUUCUGGAGCUGAAGUAAUGAUUGCUAGGGAUAGUUGGGGGUGCUAGUAUUCAAUGGCCAGAGGUGAAAUUCUCGGAUUCCUUGAAGACUAACUUAUGCGAAAGCAUU